Molecule: ribosomal RNA, 320 nt
Filed under: uncultured bacterium
Lineage: Bacteria
Description: bacterial SSU rRNA
Rfam family: Bacterial small subunit ribosomal RNA
Source: RNAcentral
GACGAACGCUGGCGGCGUGCUUAACACAUGCAAGUCGAGCGGUAAGGCCCUUUCGGGGGUACGACGAGCGGCGAACGGGUGAGUAACACGUGGGUGACCUGCCCUCCAGCUCUGGGAUAAGCCUGGGAAACCGGGGUCUAAUACCGGAUAUGACUCCAUGACGCAUGUUGUGGGGUGGAAAGCCUUGUGCGGCUGAGGAUGGGCCCGCGGCCUAUCAGCUUGUUGGUGGGGUGAUGGCCUACCAAGGCGACGACGGGUAGCCGGCCUGAGAGGGCGACCGGCCACACUGGGACUGAGGCACGGCCCAGACUCCUACGGGA